AGUGAACGCUGGCGGUAGGCCUAACACAUGCAAGUCGAACGGCAGCACAGUAAGAGCUUGCUCUUACGGGUGGCGAGUGGCGGACGGGUGAGGAAUACAUCGGAAUCUACUUUUUCGUGGGGGAUUACGUAGGGAAACUUACGCUAAUACCUCAUACGACCUACGGGUGAAAGCAGGGGAUCUUCGGACUUUGCGCGAUUGAAUGAGCCGAUGUCGGAUUAGCUAGUUGGCGGGGUAAAGGCCCACCAAGGCAACGAUCCGUAGCUGGUCUGAGAGGAUGAUCAGCCACACUGGAACUGAGACACGGUCCAGACUCCUACGGGAGGCAGCAGUGGGGAAUAUUGGACAAUGGGCGCAAGCCUGAUCCAGCCAUACCGCGUGGGUGAAGAAGGCCUUCGGGUUGUAAAGCCCUUUUGUUGGGAAAGAAAAGCAGCAGGUUAAUACCCCGCUGUUCUGACGGUACCCAAAGAGUAAGCACCGGCUAACUUCGUG
RNAcentral lists this ribosomal RNA (492 nucleotides) under uncultured bacterium. RNAcentral's name for it is "partial 16S ribosomal RNA". It matches the Rfam family "Bacterial small subunit ribosomal RNA", at positions 29 to 507 of the family's 1533-position model. The record is from RNAcentral.